CUGCGAUUGGAAGGUAACGUGUGUGUGUGUGUGUGUGUGUGUGUGUGUGUGUGUGUGUGAGAUAGAGAGGCCACAGCACUAAUCCACCCGGAGAGCAACUGAACAACAACAGAUCGAUCAACAUGCUAAAUGGUGUUUUUUCCAGUGUGCAUGUGUGUAUUUUGCGUGUGUGUGUGCGUUAGUGCGUGUGGUCAGUGUGUGUCUGUGUCGGCGGCCUAAUGGAGGAUCUGGAUGCAUUCAGUCAUGUUUGCCAACAGGAACAGAGAUCCAACCUGCUCAUUACCGACGUCAAAGCGUCACUUUGAUUCUGACGGCGAGUCGGAGACGUUUGACGCACACACACACACACACACACACACACACAGCGGCCUCCUCCCCAAAGCCGCCACACGGAGACCGCGUCUGUAUUAGAGGCCGAUGUGUGCAGCAAAUUAUUUCUGGAUCAUUUAUCAUCUCAUUAUUAUAAGUUUUAGAGACGGCCGCUCAGGCAACAUGUGAGUGAGGAGCAGAGACGAAGCGUAAAGACGGCAAACAGAUGUGCCGGAAUGUGCCGGAUAACCGCGGUGAUCUAAUGUGUGACACUGCCAGCGAAUGAGUCAUAAACCCCCCACACACCCCCCAAAAAGAAGCUUCUAACGGCUGUGAAAGAUGAUCUCAUUACGAGUAGUUUUAUUUUGAAAACUAAGUUCACAUUUAACUGACUUUAACCAUUUUAUUUUUAUUAUUAUUAUUACAUUUACUUUCUCUCGUGAGGGCGGAUCGUAGUUCGUACCCGGAGCAGCAUGUUGUGUAACUUCAACACACCACGCACCAACAAACACACAAACAACAAACGCACACAUUCGCAGUGAGUUAAAACACACACACACACGCUGGCGAUAUCAGUCGGCGGGGACGCUGACUCGGCUACUUCUACGAGAGGUCAGGGAGUUUGUGUGUGUGUGUGUGUGUGUGUGUGUGUGUGUUCAUGAGGAGGGUUUGUAUAUACGCGUCCCCCCCUGAGGGAAAAGACUGCGGCAAACAGACAGGAAGUGAUGUCACAAGUCGACCAAGG
Long non-coding RNA from Gasterosteus aculeatus aculeatus (three-spined stickleback), 1054 nucleotides. The record is from Ensembl. NCBI's taxonomy places the organism in Eukaryota, Metazoa, Chordata, Actinopteri, Perciformes, Gasterosteidae.